Molecule: ribosomal RNA, 429 nt
Filed under: Actinomycetes bacterium
Lineage: Bacteria; Bacillati; Actinomycetota; Actinomycetes
Description: Actinobacteria bacterium partial 16S ribosomal RNA
Rfam family: Bacterial small subunit ribosomal RNA
Source: RNAcentral
UAGGGAAUCUUCCGCAAUGGGCGAAAGCCCGACGGAGCAACGCCGCGUGAGUGAUGAAGGUCUUCGGAUCGUAAAACUCUGUUAUUAGGGAAGAACACAUGUGUAAGUAACUAUGCACGUCUUGACGGUACCUAAUCAGAAAGCCACGGCUAACUACGUGCCAGCAGCCGCGGUAAUACGUAGGUGGCAAGCGUUAUCCGGAAUUAUUGGGCGUAAAGCGCGCGUAGGCGGUUUUUUAAGUCUGAUGUGAAAGCCCACGGCUCAACCGUGGAGGGUCAUUGGAAACUGGAAAACUUGAGUGCAGAAGAGGAAAGUGGAAUUCCAUGUGUAGCGGUGAAAUGCGCAGAGAUAUGGAGGAACACCAGUGGCGAAGGCGACUUUCUGGUCUGUAACUGACGCUGAUGUGCGAAAGCGUGGGGAUCAAACAGG